UAUUCCAUUACAGAGCAAUUUUAACUCCUUGUUUGUAUAUUUCAGGCAGUCUAAAAUGGAUGAAGCAGUUGUGUUGCUAUAUCGGUUUAAAAGAAACUUCAGAAAUAGGGAGAUGAACUGACAGUAGCAUACAGAUGUCUUCCAUGGCAGGUCCUGUUUAAAACACAACAAGAAACUCCAGGAUCAAAUGAAAAGAGAUUAGCUCUACGUUGAACCCAGUUUUCCUCUCUCUGAAUGAGGCUCUGAAUUACACAUCUAGUAAAUGUUUUGAUGUCAUCAGCAGCAUGCAGCAAAUGUUCUUAUGGAGGUUACGAGAGCUGCCAUUUCAUGUCACCUUGUUUUCAAAAAGGACCUUCCACGUGGUGCCUCAGCAAUUUGGACCAUGUGCCUUGCACACUUGCUGCUCUGAACAUACGGCUACUAGAUAUGAACGGAUGAUUCCUGAAUAGUUCUGCUUUCAGAGCGUGUGCUGCAAGU
This 477-nucleotide long non-coding RNA is filed under the name Chinchilla lanigera (long-tailed chinchilla). Its description in RNAcentral is "lncRNA (ENSCLAG00000023391.1)". The record is from RNAcentral. Lineage: Eukaryota; Metazoa; Chordata; Mammalia; Rodentia; Chinchillidae.